GACAAGAUCCUGGUUCAUCACUUUGAUGCUUGAAAUUGAAGCGUUAGUAGCUAUGAUUUGAGAUAUUAUAAGACUCUUAGAUAAAGCUUAUAGAUUGAAUGAAUUCGAGCAAACAUCGUGAACAAAUCACUUUCCUUAUAAUAUUUUAAGCACUCUCGAAUUUCUUCGAGUUUUUAUGCAGAAAUACACCGGAUAAUUCAG
Molecule: long non-coding RNA, 201 nt
Filed under: Lathyrus oleraceus (garden pea)
Lineage: Eukaryota; Viridiplantae; Streptophyta; Magnoliopsida; Fabales; Fabaceae
Description: Pisum sativum (pea) long non-coding RNA (PSAT_LNC027014)
Source: RNAcentral